Neolamprologus brichardi is the source of this 280-nucleotide non-coding RNA. The record is from RefSeq and is a predicted model, not a curated record. Lineage: Eukaryota; Metazoa; Chordata; Actinopteri; Cichliformes; Cichlidae.
AGUUAAUGUGCAAUGCUGAGUCAGGUACUGAAGUUGAGAAUGGCUGGGACAGUGACUUGUCUACUAUCUUGCUGCUGCUACAUCUGCUACCACCAUCUGCACAAGGGCGAAAGACACCAGGAAAGAUGUCUGCAUCUCAAGCUGUCAAUAACCUCAUCAAAUUCCCAAAGGCUGGAACCAGUGUACAGCAGCAUCUAGACAACAUCACCCGAAGCAGUCAGCCCUACCUUCUUACUCAGGGAUCCACAAGAAGCAGCAUUCACACCUUCAUUGUGAUUGA